GCCAUUGUAGCUCAGCUGGUAGAGCACCUGAUUCGUAAUCAGUAGGUCGCAAGUUCAAAUCUUGUCAAUGGCACCA
This 76-nucleotide transfer RNA is filed under the name Rickettsiales bacterium. RNAcentral's name for it is "tRNA-Thr". It matches the Rfam family "tRNA". From Rfam's summary of the family: Transfer RNA (tRNA) molecules are approximately 80 nucleotides in length. Their secondary structure includes four short double-helical elements and three loops (D, anti-codon, and T loops). Lineage: Bacteria; Pseudomonadati; Pseudomonadota; Alphaproteobacteria; Rickettsiales. The record is from RNAcentral.